GCCCCUGUAGGGAUAAAAGCAGCUUGGUCAACAGAGAUUAAAGAGUCUAUCCAUGGUUUGAGUUUAUUGACUAUAAUUUUAGAGACAACCUUAUAAAUGAAAUUGCAAAGACUUAUAGGUUUGUAUUGAUUAAUAGAAAUUGGUUUACAUUUAGGUAUAAUAACAAUAUUUGUUCUAUUUAGCUCUUUAAGCAUGAACCCAGAUACAAAAAAACUUUGAACAGCAUUACAAACAUCUCUCUCAACUAUGUCCCAAUUCUGAUGAUAAAAGAUGCCAGGAAAGCCAUCUGGUCCAGGUGCCUUCAAUCCUCCUAGAUCAAAAAUAGCUCGCUUGACUUUGUCAUCAAGGAAAGGAGCAAGAAGGUGAGCAUUUAAAUGUGGAGAGACUAUUAGAGGGAGUAGACCAGUGACUUCCUCACUACCUGCAAUGUGAUCACACUGAUAGACUUUUUAAAAAAAGGACAGAAAUUCAUAUCUGAUUUCCAGGUUAGAUUCUAACCAAGCACCAUCCUCCUUUUGAAUUUUAACUAUGGAGUUUUUACUUCUUCUUUGAAGGGUGGAAACAUGGAAAAACCUGGUGUUCCUAUCACCUUGAGAAAGCUAACUAAUACCAGACCUCUGUCUCCAAUGAGUUUCCUCUUUUUGCCAAAGAACCUACAGGUGACUUAAGAGCUACUUUUCAACAAAUUUAUCAUUCUCUUCCAUAGGAUUGGCGUAAAGUUCAUCUAAUUAGCAUUUGAGUUGUUGGAUUUCCUGGUGAUUACCUUGAAAAUGUUGUUUGCUCCACUUACUAAGGACAGACCUGAACUGCUUAAGUUUUUGAGCAACAGUAAACAUAGGAGAUCCUCGGGCAUAUCUAUUCUAGGCCUCAAAAAUGACAUUCAGGCAAUCAGAGUUUUGUAACCAUUUAGCUUCGAGUCUAAAUAAGAAUUGCUUUUUCCUGCACAAUCCUUCCAAAAAGAGAACUAAAGGUUGGCAAUCUAACCCAACCAUAGAUUCAUGCAAAAUAAGAGCUCUAGGAAAGAAUUCUCUCUACUCAAUGGAUACAAAAGCAUGAUUAAGCCUUUCUUGAAUCGCAGUGACAGCAAACUGCUUAUUAAAUCAAGUGUACACUGAACCUUUCCAUUCCAAAUCAAUAAGAGAGCAUUAUUGAUAAAAUCAGAGAGACCCUGGGUUUAAGAAGUAGUAAUAUUGUUCCCCCCAAUUUCUCAUCCUGAGAAAGAACUGAGUUAAAUCUGUAAUGCAAAUCCAAGGCUCCUAAGAAAACCCUCUAAGGCUACUAAUUUCUGUCUAAAAAAACAUUUCUAUUUUCAUGAUAAGGGCUGCCAUAAACAAAAGUAAAGAACCAAGAUCAAGUGGUGCCUUCCAACUGGACUAUUGUAUCUAGCAUAUAAACAGAGGAGUGAAGAAUUGUUAUCUGAAUUUCAUCAGUCCUCCAAAGGGAAAGAGAGCCCAACCGGAUUAACAUAUUCUACAUACUGAAAUUGACAUCUUCGGCGUAACCUUUCCAUAUAACCUUGCUUAUUUUUAGUCUCCAUCAAGAAUACAAAGGAGGGGCGGUGUUUGGUUAUGAGCUCUCCCAGAGCUCGAACUGCUUGAGGUUGCCCAAUCCCCUGACAGUUCCAAGACAGGGUUGUCAUGGCUUCUUGGGUGGCUUCUGGCCAGCCACCAGGGCCUCAAAGGAGGGAGAGACAUCAACACUUUCAUUCUCGCAUCGUGGAGCAUUCACUUGCUCAUCAUUUGUUUCAUUUACAUUUUUCGGAGCUUCAUCUACCUCGUUAGUGUCCACCGAAACAUCCUCGCAACUUUCAUUGCCACCAACUCUUGCUUGUCUUUUCCAUUUGCGGCUACGAACAUUCUCUACCACUAGAGUGCGGUCUCCAAAGGAUCAAAAGUGUUAGACUGAAUGAGAGCAGGGGAGCUAUUUAGUGGUAGAGGAGAAGUGUAGGUAAUGGGUUGACUAUGGCAGUGGUUCUAUCGAUGGAAGGGGUCCUUGCCAAUUGAGAAUAGAGGCUAUAGUUUUAGGAGAUGGGCUAGCACAAAUAUUUUUAGGUUUAUACAAACUGCUUGCAAGAUGGAUCCGACAAUCAAGCUCUUUGGGCUCAAUUAAGGUGAAGUCGUCUAACUUGGGAUUUUUAGUUUCAUGAUCUUAAAGAAAGAGUGGCUUGGCGAAAU
Molecule: unclassified non-coding RNA, 2174 nt
Filed under: Hevea brasiliensis (rubber tree)
Lineage: Eukaryota; Viridiplantae; Streptophyta; Magnoliopsida; Malpighiales; Euphorbiaceae
Source: RNAcentral